UUUUGCAUAUCAAAAAAGCGGAGGAAAAGAAACCAACAGGGAUUGCCUCAGUAACGGCGAGUGAAGCGGCAACAGCUCAAAUUUGAAAUCUGGCCUCUUUGGGGUCCGAGUUGUAAUUUGUAGAGGAUGUUUCGGGCACCGCUCCGGUUUAAAUUUCUUGGAACAGAAUGUCAAAGAGGGUGAGAACCCCGUCUUGGACCGGCAGUAGGGCCCAUGUGAAACUCCUUCGACGAGUCGAGUUGUUUGGGAAUGCAGCUCAAAAUGGGUGGUAAAUUUCAUCUAAAGCUAAAUAUUGGCCAGAGACCGAUAGCGCACAAGUAGAGUGAUCGAAAGAUGAAAAGCACUUUGAAAAGAGAGUUAAACAGUACGUGAAAUUGUUGAAAGGGAAGCGCUUGCAACCAGACUUGCGCGCGGCGGUUCCCCCUUCCUUUUGGUUGGGUUAUUCCGCCGUGUCCAGGCCAACAUCGGUUCUGGGGGUCGGUUAAAGGCCUGGGGAAUGUAUCUACCCUUCGGGCGUAGACUUAUAGCCCCGGGUGUCAUGCGACCUCCCGGGACCGAGGAACGCGCUUCGGCUCGGAUGUUGGCGUAAUGGUUGUCAGCGACCCGUCUUGAAAACACCGGACCAAAAA
RNAcentral lists this ribosomal RNA (629 nucleotides) under Exophiala dermatitidis. Its description in RNAcentral is "LSU rRNA". It matches the Rfam family "Eukaryotic large subunit ribosomal RNA", at positions 34 to 672 of the family's 3401-position model. The record is from RNAcentral. Lineage: Eukaryota; Fungi; Ascomycota; Eurotiomycetes; Chaetothyriales; Herpotrichiellaceae.